AGUGAACGCUGGCGGUAGGCCUAACACAUGCAAGUCGAACGGCAGCACAGUAAGAGCUUGCUCUUACGGGUGGCGAGUGGCGGACGGGUGAGGAAUACAUCGGAAUCUACUUUUUCGUGGGGGAUAACGUAGGGAAACUUACGCUAAUACCGCAUACGACCUACGGGUGAAAGCAGGGGAUCUUCGGACCUUGCGCGAUUGAAUGAGCCGAUGUCGGAUUAGCUAGUUGGCGGGGUAAAGGCCCACCAAGGCGACGAUCCGUAGCUGGUCUGAGAGGAUGAUCAGCCACACUGGAACUGAGACACGGUCCAGACUCCUACGGGAGGCAGCAGUGGGGAAUAGUGGACAAUGGGCGCAAGCCUGAUCCAGCCAUACCGCGUGGGUGAAGAAGGCCUUCGGGUUGUAAAGCCCUUUUGUUGGGAAAGAAAAGCAGCAGGUUAAUACCCCGCUGUGCUGACGGUACCCAAAGAAUAAGCACCGGCUAACUUC
This 489-nucleotide ribosomal RNA is filed under the name uncultured bacterium. RNAcentral's name for it is "partial 16S ribosomal RNA". It matches the Rfam family "Bacterial small subunit ribosomal RNA", at positions 29 to 504 of the family's 1533-position model. The record is from RNAcentral.